CAACCUGGUGAUCCUGCCAGUAGUCAUAUGCUGGUCYCGAAGAUUAAGCCAUGCAUGUCUCAGUGUAAGCUUCACUCUUGCAAUACUGUGCAUGGCUCAUUAAAACAGCUAUGACUUAAUUGAAGGUCAAGCUACAUGGAUAACUGUGACAAUUCUAUAGCUAACACAUGCUCCAAUACCUGACUUGAGGGUGGUGGUCAUCAACCUCAGAAUCAAUGCAGGCUCUGCUUGGUGAAUAGAAGAGUCAUGAUGAUUGAAUGAAUUGCACUGCACCAGCUGGUGAUAACUCAUUGAAGUUUCUGACCCAUCAGCUUCCGACGAUAGGGUAAUGACCUACCGUGGCAAUGACAGGUGACGGAAGAUUAGGGUUUGAUUCUGGAGAGGCAGCCUGAGAAACGGCCACCACAUCUAAGGAAGGCAGCAGGCGCGCAAAUUGCCCAGUCCUGACACAGGGAGGCAGUGACAAGAAAUAACAAUACAAGGCAUCCAUGUCUUGUAAUUGGAAUGAGUGACUUGUAAACUUCUUUUUGAGUAUCGAUUGGAGGGCAAGUCUGGUGCCAGCAGCCGCGGUAAUUCCAGCUCCAAUGGUGUAUAUUAAAGUUGUUGCGGUUAAAAAGCUCAUAGUUGGAUUUCUGCUGAGGGUGGCUGGUCCGCCCUUUGGGUGAGUACCUGGCACAGCCUGAGCAUAUUUCUGGAGGGUGCAACUGCACUUGGCUGUGUGGUGCAGCGUCGAGAACUUUUACUUUGAAGAAAUCAAAGUGUUUCAUGCAAGUGUCUGCCUUGAAUACGGUAGCAUGGAAUAAUGGUUUUGGGCCUUGGUCCUGUUUUGUUGGUUCCUAGAGCUGAGGUGGUGAUAAAUAGGGAUGAUUGGGGGUAUUUGUAUUUAACUGUCAGAGGUGAAAUUCUUGAAUUUCUUAAGGAUAGACUACUGCAAAAGCAUUUGCCAAGGAUGUAUUUUUUGAUCAAGAACGAAAGUUAGGGGAUCGAAGACGAUUAGAUACCGUCCUAGUCUUAACCAUAAACCAUGCCAUCUAGAGAUUGGAGGUUGUUACUCGGAUGACUCCUUCGGCACCUUGUGAGAAAUUGAAGCCUUUGGGUUCCGGGGGGAGUAUGAUCGCAAGGCUGAAACUUAAAGGAAUUGACGGAAGGGCACCACCAGGAGUGGAGCCUGCGGCUUAAUUUGACUCAACACGGGGAACCUUACCAGGUCCAGACACAAUUGGGAUUGACAGAUUGACAGCUCUUUCUUGAUUCUGUGGGUGGUGGUGCAUGGCCGUUCUUAGUUGGUGGAGUGAUUUGUCUGGUUAAUUCCGUUAACGAACGAGACCUUAACUGGCUAAAUAGUUACAUGUAUUUUUGGUUAUGUGGGCAACUUCUUAGAGGGACUUUGUGUGUACAGCACAAGGAAGUGUGAGGCAAUAACAGGUCUGUAAUGCCCUUAGAUGUUCUGGACUGCACGCGUGCUACACUGGUGCACCCAACAAGUAUUCCAUCUUGCCUGGAAUGGCUGGGUAAUCUUCUAAACCUGCAUCGUGAUGGGGAUGGACAAUUGCAAUUAUUAACCCUGAACGAGGAAUUCCUAGUAAGUGUGAGUCAUCACCUUGCGUUGAUUAUGUCCCUGCCCUUUGUACACACCGCCCGUCGCUCCUACCGAUUGAGUGGUCCGGUGAAUAAUUUGGACUGUAGUGGCACUCAGUUCUUGGAUAACACCAUGGGAAGUCUCAUGAACCUUAUCACUUAGAGGAAGGAGAAGUCGUAACAAGGUUUCCGUANGUG
RNAcentral lists this ribosomal RNA (1776 nucleotides) under Gambierdiscus cf. yasumotoi IR4G. Its description in RNAcentral is "SSU rRNA". It matches the Rfam family "Eukaryotic small subunit ribosomal RNA". Lineage: Eukaryota; Dinophyceae; Gonyaulacales; Pyrocystaceae. The record is from RNAcentral.